Topomyia yanbarensis is the source of this 1253-nucleotide long non-coding RNA. RefSeq lists it as uncharacterized. The transcript has 3 exons. The record is from RefSeq and is a predicted model, not a curated record. Lineage: Eukaryota; Metazoa; Arthropoda; Insecta; Diptera; Culicidae.
AACAAAAUGAACGAAAUUAAUUCUAAAUACGAACGAGGAGCACUUUAGUUUACAUCAAAUCAGUUAAAGUGUUCAUUGUUUUCUAUUGUUUACUGCUACUAUUGUUUGUUGAUGACAUUUUAAGCGAUUUUGACGUUGUCAAACUGACCCCCAUCAAUCGAUGGAAAAACGAUGUUGCCUAUUGUCAAACUCUGUAUGUAGAGAUAGGGAUGCCAGUUACCUGGUCAGAUCGGAUGAUAUGGAGAAAAUUGAGGUUUUCUUGAUACUAGAAAAACUCUAGUAAGAGAACUGCGGAGAGAAAAGCAGCAUUUUUGUCAACGUAUGCCCCGGCAUUGUAUGGCAACACGUCCAAUGUUAUAAGGAUAGGCAAUGUUCGAUUGGAUUCGGUUUUUGACAGCUAAACCCGAAUCCAAUCGAUCCAAAAUGGAGUCUCCGCAGUUCUCUUUCUAGAGUUUUUCUACUUGAUACCAUUCGAGCCAAGUCAGACUCAGCAAUGACCAAGAACGUUCUUUCUGCUCCCAACGCCCAAAGAAAUAGGAAUUGCGCGCGGUUUUACCGUAGUCAAUAUAAAGUAUUUUUGUAUUUUUCUUAAAUGGUGUUCAGUGUGCUUAUGAUGUUUUUUUUUGUUAUAAAGUAAGGAGCAAGAAUGAGAAACGAAUAGAAUGUUAAAAAUUUGUCGGAUAUAUAAAAGAUGUUAGUACGUGUUAAAAGUAAGAAAAGCUAAAAACAGAAAAGCACGAAACAUACGAAGUAAAACGGGAUAAAAAGCAACGGUAUAACUGGUGACCACAACAAAUACGUCAAGGUUCACUUGAUUGAAGGUUCAGCUCGCCGGGUAGCCAAUUACAGCACUAUUUUCAUAACUCUCUGGGCAACGAAAGCUUAAUUUUGCAAUAACUCAUCAACCAGUUGUCAUAGCUAUGGACUGUCUUUAAAAGAAGUUAUUCUUCUUGACUGAAUCUGUAGAAUGUAGCAUACGAUAUAUUUUUCUGGGGCACCAGGCGGCAUAUGUAUGAAUUUAAUGAAAAUGUCUUAUGUUCUCAUAGUAAACUCCAUACAAACUUAGAAUUAUUUGUGCUAAAACAUGCUCCAACAGAUUUGAUCAGAUUUAGUGUAGGAGUUCGUUGAAGAAUUACGAAUUUUUGUAACUUGGUUCUGCGGUAUUCAAUUUGUUUUCAUACAUCCUCGUGCCACCCUAAUAUAUGUACAUAAAAAAAACUUUGUCCGGCGCGGUAGUUUCAAAGCUGCAUCGG